UGGGGGUGUUUCUGACGUAUUUGGUCGAUGAUGAUUCCGAUCUAAAUCGGAUGUUGAUCUGAGACUUUCAGCGUGAUAUCUGGCUAUAUCUUCUUCACUCGAACGUUUUGGGUUAUUUUUCUGACGUUCUCGAGUCGAUUCCGGCGAGGCUUCGGAUUUUAGGAUUUCUGCUGUUCGAAACUGGCAUUUUUCUGUUAAUCGAAGGCCGAUCUUCUCCGGUCGCGAAG
Molecule: long non-coding RNA, 227 nt
Filed under: Nicotiana benthamiana
Lineage: Eukaryota; Viridiplantae; Streptophyta; Magnoliopsida; Solanales; Solanaceae
Description: long non-coding RNA (NBEN_LNC000980)
Source: RNAcentral